RNAcentral lists this ribosomal RNA (450 nucleotides) under uncultured bacterium. Its description in RNAcentral is "partial 16S ribosomal RNA". It matches the Rfam family "Bacterial small subunit ribosomal RNA", at positions 338 to 795 of the family's 1533-position model. The record is from RNAcentral.
CCUACGGGGGGCUGCAGUCGAGAAUCUUCGGCAAUGGGCGCAAGCCUGACCGAGCGACGCCGCGUGUGGGAUGAAGGCCCUUGGGUUGUAAACCACUGUCAGAGGGGAUGAAGUGCCAGAGAGCAAUCUCUUUGGUUUGACAUAGCCUCAGAGGAAGCACGGGCUAAGUUCGUGCCAGCAGCCGCGGUAAUACGAACUGUGCAAACGUUAUUCGGUACCACUGGGCUUGGAGGCUUGGUAGGCGGGUUGUGAAAGCCCCCGGCUCAACCGGGGAAUGGCGCCUUAAACUGGCGAGCUGGAGUGAGAUAGGGGUGUGCGGAACUUCCGGUGGAGCGGUGAAAUGUGUUGAUAUCGGAAGGAACGCCGGUGGCGAAAGCGGCACACUGGAUCUCAACUGACGCUGAGGCACGAAAGCCAGGGGAGCGAACGGGAUUAGAUACCCGGGUAGUC